CCCUUUGGACUUUUCCUCUAGGUUCCUCGCUAACCUGUUCUGUGAGCUCACUCUGCCCCCUCUCCUCCCCUUCACUCUCUCGAGGUUACCCAUUCACUUAAAACAUUGCUUCUGGU
RNAcentral lists this long non-coding RNA (116 nucleotides) under Ovis aries (sheep). Its description in RNAcentral is "Nuclear enriched abundant transcript 1 conserved region 2 (ENSOARG00000024133.1)". It matches the Rfam family "Nuclear enriched abundant transcript 1 conserved region 2". The record is from RNAcentral. Lineage: Eukaryota; Metazoa; Chordata; Mammalia; Artiodactyla; Bovidae.